Molecule: ribosomal RNA, 253 nt
Filed under: uncultured bacterium
Lineage: Bacteria
Description: partial 16S ribosomal RNA
Rfam family: Bacterial small subunit ribosomal RNA
Source: RNAcentral
UACGUAGGGGGCAAGCGUUAUCCGGAUUUACUGGGUGUAAAGGGAGCGUAGACGGCCAGACAAGUCUGAAGUGAAAAUCCAGCGCUUAACGUUGGAAGUGCUUUGGAAACUGCCGGGCUAGAGUGCAGGAGGGGCAGGCGGAAUUCCUAGUGUAGCGGUGAAAUGCGUAGAUAUUAGGAGGAACACCAGUGGCGAAGGCGGCCUGCUGGACUGCGACUGACGUUGAGGCUCGAAGGCGUGGGGAGCAAACAGG